This 528-nucleotide long non-coding RNA is filed under the name Macaca mulatta (Rhesus monkey). RNAcentral describes it as "lncRNA (ENSMMUG00000061333.1)". Lineage: Eukaryota; Metazoa; Chordata; Mammalia; Primates; Cercopithecidae. The record is from RNAcentral.
AAAAAGUUGCCCCCAUAACUAUUUCUGGAGUGACAUAGUCUCCAUUGGGCAUGGUAAUGGCAACUCUAGCUUAGUGUUGACAAAUACAAGGGAAAAUAAAUGAUAACCCAGUAUAAACCCAAACACCACAAAAAUCAUGAUCAAAGAAAUCAAAGAUGAGCUACUCAACCUGAAGUCUGAAUAGAAACCAUAAGUAGUUAUAAGAAGUUAUUGUACAUUUGCCUUUAUGACUUGGCAAAAUGAAUUUGGACUUUUGAACCCAACAAAUUGUUGCUAAAAUCUCAGCUCUACUUCUCCUAUAUUUGAAUGUGAGCAAACCAUUUAGUCUUCCAAACUUGGGUAUAAUUUCUAACUAGACUAUCUUACUAAUGGUUAUACCGUAGAAAGAACUAAAUGAGAGGGUUCCUGACAACUAAGGAACAUUGAAAAAUUACAGAUUCAAAAGUCAGCCUCUGAGGCUUCUAAGAUAAUAAAUGAAAGAAAUUUUUAAAAGUUAAAGGGAAAAAAGUCAUUUUGAAGAGCUAGCAC